Molecule: ribosomal RNA, 465 nt
Filed under: uncultured bacterium
Lineage: Bacteria
Description: partial 16S ribosomal RNA
Rfam family: Bacterial small subunit ribosomal RNA
Source: RNAcentral
CCUACGGGAGGCAGCAGUAGGGAAUCUUGCGCAAUGGACGCAAGUCUGACGCAGCAACGCCGCGUGAGGGAUGAAGGUCUUCGGAUCGUAAAACUCUGUUGAUAGAGAAGAAAAAUUGCUAAAGUAAGUGGUAGUGUAUUGACGGUAUCUAAACAGAAAGCCUCGGCUAACUACGUGCCAGCAGCCGCGGUAAUACGUAGGUUGCGAGCGUUGAUCGGAUUUAUUGGGCGUAAAGGGAGCGUAGGCGGUUUGUUAAGUCAGAUGUGAAAGGGCGCGGCUCAACCGGGGAAGGUCAUUUGAAACUGGGAAACUUGAGUGCAGUAGAGGAGGGUGGAAUUCCAGGUGUAGCGGUGAAAUGCGUAGAUAUAUGGAGGAACACCGGUGGCGAAGGCAACUCACUGGUCUGUAACUGACGCUGAGGCUCGAAAGCGUGGGUAGCAAACAGGAUUAGAUACCCUGGUAGUC